UACGGGGGGAGCAAGCGUUGUUCGGAUUUACUGGGCGUAAAGGGCGGGUAGGCGGCCACUGCAAGUCGGUUGUGAAAUCUCCGGGCUUAACUCGGAAAGGUCAAUCGAUACUGCAGGGCUAGAGUGCAGAAGGGGCAACUGGAAUUCUCGGUGUAGCGGUGAAAUGCGUAGAUAUCACUUGGAACGCCGACGGUGAAAACAGUCUGCUGGGGGUUUGCUGACGCUGAGACACGAAAGCCAGGGGAGCGAACGGG
Molecule: ribosomal RNA, 254 nt
Filed under: uncultured bacterium
Lineage: Bacteria
Description: partial 16S ribosomal RNA
Rfam family: Bacterial small subunit ribosomal RNA
Source: RNAcentral